Molecule: ribosomal RNA, 468 nt
Filed under: uncultured bacterium
Lineage: Bacteria
Description: partial 16S ribosomal RNA
Rfam family: Bacterial small subunit ribosomal RNA
Source: RNAcentral
GACGAACGCUGGCGGCGUGCUUAACACAUGCAGGUCGAACGGAAAGGCCCUGCUUUUGUGGGGUGCUCGAGUGGCGAACGGGUGAGUAACACGUGAGUAACCUGCCCUUGACUUUGGGAUAACUUCAGGAAACUGGGGCUAAUACCGGAUAGGAGCUCCUGCUGCAUGGUGGGGGUUGGAAAGUUUCGGCGGUUGGGGAUGGACUCGCGGCUUAUCAGCUUGUUGGUGGGGUAGUGGCUUACCAAGGCUUUGACGGGUAGCCGGCCUGAGAGGGUGACCGGCCACAUUGGGACUGAGCUACGGCCCAGACUCCUACGGGAGGCAGCAGUGGGGAAUAUUGCACAAUGGGCGGAAGCCUGAUGCAGCAACGCCGCGUGCGGGAUGACGGCCUUCGGGUUGUAAACCGCUUUCGCCUGUGACGAAGCGUGAGUGACGGUAAUGGGUAAAGAAGCACCGGCUAACUACGUG